This is a long non-coding RNA of Saccostrea cuccullata (small rock oyster), 297 nucleotides long. RefSeq lists it as uncharacterized. The record is from RefSeq and is a predicted model, not a curated record. NCBI's taxonomy places the organism in Eukaryota, Metazoa, Mollusca, Bivalvia, Ostreida, Ostreidae. The transcript is spliced from 3 exons.
AAGGAGAUGUGUCAAAUUUAGCCAUUUUUUGUCUGUCUGAAACAAUUUUUAAAGUUCAGAACGACUUUUAAGUGCUUCGUCUGCCACAUCUUGACAUCGUCUGCUACUUUGGCUAGCUGAUAUGGAGGGUGUAAGAGUACCAUUUUAUGCGGAAUUCACAGUGAAAUUUGCGGAUGGGGUACAUCCAGAUGAGAAGAUUGUAGUAAAUAAGUAUGAUGCUGCAAGGAUAAGGGCAGGAGAUCAGAAAUUUAUUGAUCAGAUCAGGAAUUCUCUUAUAGAGGCAGAUGUCAUCAAAGA